Molecule: long non-coding RNA, 504 nt
Organism: Pantherophis guttatus
Lineage: Eukaryota; Metazoa; Chordata; Lepidosauria; Squamata; Colubridae
Source: RefSeq, a predicted model, not a curated record
UCAUGACCAACUCUAGGGGGCAUUGCUCAUCUAUGUUUCCUAGCUGAGGGAGCCAACAUUGUCCAAAGAUGAUUCCAUAGUCACAUGGCCAGCACAACUCUAUGCUCAGAUGCCUGGAACCCAGUUACCUUCCUACUGAAAUGGAAAGAACAAUGAAUGAGCGGAAUGACAUGCCUCCAGAAAUGGCAGAGAAGAAGCAAAGCCGGUUCUGAAGUUUUCAUGCACGAAGCAGCAUAGUGGUGGAUUGCCCCCGGUUCGGACCUGUAGUAAACUGGCAGGAGGCUCCGCCCACCAACCGCAACAUCAUCAGGGAGCUUCUACACAGCCUUGUUGCAAACUGGUAGUAAAGCAGGACUGAAAGAGAUGGCACUGAAAUCAAAAUUGAAGACACUGUUUGGAGCUGAAGGGAGGGGAGAGCUGAGGAGGAUGGAGCCUUCAACCAAAGCUGUGUCAAACUGAAUUCAUAUUAGAGUAACCAAGGAAAUAAACAAUCCUGCAACCUGA